UACGUAGGUGGCAAGCGUUGUCCGGAUUUACUGGGUGUAAAGGGCGUGUAGCCGGGUUGACAAGUCGGAUGUGAAAUCCUGCGGCUUAACCGCAGAACUGCAUUUGAAGCUGUUGAUCUUGAGUACUGGAGAGGCAGACGGAAUUCCUAGUGUAGCGGUGAAAUGCGUAGAUAUUAGGAGGAACACCAGUGGCGAAGGCGGUCUGCUGGACAGCAACUGACGGUGAGGCGCGAAAGCGUGGGGAGCAAACAGG
RNAcentral lists this ribosomal RNA (253 nucleotides) under uncultured bacterium. Its description in RNAcentral is "partial 16S ribosomal RNA". It matches the Rfam family "Bacterial small subunit ribosomal RNA", at positions 524 to 776 of the family's 1533-position model. The record is from RNAcentral.